UGUCAGCAGCCGCGGUGAUACAUAGGCACCAAGCGUUGUCCGGAUUUAUUGGGCGUAAAGAGCUCGUAGGCGGUUCAGUCAGUCGGGUGUGAAAACUCUGGGCUUAACCCAGAGCCUGCACCCGAUACUGCUGUGACUAGAGUUCGGUAGGGGAGCGGGGAAUUCCUGGUGUAGCGGUGAAAUGCGCAGAUAUCAGGAGGAACACCGAUGGCGAAGGCACCGCUCUGGGCCGAAACUGACGCUGAGGAGCGAAAGCAUGGGUAGCAAACAGGAUUAGAUACCCUGGUAGUCCAUGCCGUAAACGUUGGGCACUAGGUGUGGGUUCCAAUCAACGGAAUCCGCGCCGUCGCUAACGCAUUAAGUGCCCCGCCUGGGGAGUACGGUCGCAAGACUAAAACUUAAAGAAAUUGGCGG
This 414-nucleotide ribosomal RNA is filed under the name uncultured Acidimicrobiaceae bacterium. RNAcentral describes it as "bacterial SSU rRNA". It matches the Rfam family "Bacterial small subunit ribosomal RNA", at positions 506 to 916 of the family's 1533-position model. Lineage: Bacteria; Bacillati; Actinomycetota; Acidimicrobiia; Acidimicrobiales; Acidimicrobiaceae. The record is from RNAcentral.